RNAcentral lists this long non-coding RNA (613 nucleotides) under Pongo abelii (Sumatran orangutan). RNAcentral's name for it is "lincRNA". Lineage: Eukaryota; Metazoa; Chordata; Mammalia; Primates; Hominidae. The record is from RNAcentral.
AAAGACUGUUGUGUGCUUUUGCUGAGUUUAAGAUGGUGUCAAUUGUGCCUUAGGAGAAGAGUUUACACAUUCUGUCCUGAGGAAUGUAAUCAAGUCUUUAUUUCAUGGUUUCUGUUAACACUAAUAGGUACAGGUUCAGAUUCGUUGAUGAGGGUGAAAGGAAAACUAUCGCCAACAGGAAGAAUCCAGAUAGGAAGAGAGAAAAAGAAAGACCAGAGAUGGAUUUUGUUUCCUUUUUAAAACAGCCUCAAUCACCUGAUUCCUCCCUGCCACUUCUCUGCAAAUGAUAGAGUUCACACAUCUAUAAUUCUCUCAUAGGUUCAUGUGGGCUACUCCUCAUAACGCUGCUCAAACACUACUGAGGCAUCAAGAUCUUCAAGAUCCAUAAUCGCAUAACAAUUGUUUUGAGCUGAAGACAGCAGAGGAACAUGAGGAUACCCUGUACUUCUCAAGAGGAUAGGAAAAUCUGAUUUGCAAUGGAUGAGGAAACUGAAGCAAAAGAAUGUUGACUAAUUUUGUCAAGGUCACACAACUGGCUGCUUUGGUGGGCUCUUCUGGGGACAAAAGAAAGCACAACAAAAAAAGGAAAUGAAUGGCAUAGGCAAACCCCUAA